UACGGAAGGCAGCAGUGGGGAAUAUUGCACAAUGGGCGAAAGCCUGAUGCAGCUAUGCCGCGUGUAUGAAGAAGGCCUUAGGGUUGUAAAGUACUUUCAUCGGGGAGGAAAAAACAAAACUAAUAAUUUUAUUUCUUGACGUUACCCGAAAAAGAAGCACCGGCUAACUCCGUGCCAGCAGCCACGGUAAUACGGAGGGUGCUAGCGUUAAUCAGAAUUACUGGGCGUAAAGAGCACGUAGGUGGUUUUUUAAGUCAGAUGUGAAAUCCCUGGGCUUAACCUAGGAACUGCAUUUUGAAACUGAAAUACUAGAGUAUCGUAGAGGGAGGUAGAAUUCUAGGUGUAGCGGUGAAAUGCGUAGAUAUCUGGAGGAAUACCUGUGGCGAAAGCGGCCUCCUAAACGAAUACUGACACUGAGGUGCGAAAGCGUGGGGAGCAAACAGGGAUUAGAUACC
This 455-nucleotide ribosomal RNA is filed under the name uncultured bacterium. Its description in RNAcentral is "bacterial SSU rRNA". It matches the Rfam family "Bacterial small subunit ribosomal RNA", at positions 340 to 786 of the family's 1533-position model. The record is from RNAcentral.